Molecule: ribosomal RNA, 226 nt
Filed under: uncultured bacterium
Lineage: Bacteria
Description: partial 16S ribosomal RNA
Rfam family: Bacterial small subunit ribosomal RNA
Source: RNAcentral
GUAACACGUAUCCAACCUGCCGUCUACUCUUGGCCAGCCUUCUGAAAGGAAGAUUAAUCCAGGAUGGCAUCAUGAGUUCACAUGUCCGCAUGAUUAAAGGUAUUUUCCGGUAGACGAUGGGGAUGCGUUCCAUUAGAUAGUAGGCGGGGUAACGGCCCACCUAGUCAACGAUGGAUAGGGGUUCUGAGAGGAAGGUCCCCCACAUUGGAACUGAGACACGGUCCAA